Molecule: ribosomal RNA, 253 nt
Filed under: uncultured bacterium
Lineage: Bacteria
Description: partial 16S ribosomal RNA
Rfam family: Bacterial small subunit ribosomal RNA
Source: RNAcentral
GACAGAGGCCUCAAGCGUUAGGCGGAAUCACUGGGCUUAAAGCGUGUGUAGGCGGAUCGUUAAGUGCCUUGUGAAAUCCCACGGCUUAACUGUGGAACUGCUUGGUAUACUGCUUAUCUUGGGCCACUUAGGGGUUACCGGAACAAACGGUGGAGCGGUGAAAUGCGUAGAUAUCGUUUGGAACGCCAAUGGUGAAAACAGGUAACUGGGAGUGUGCCGACGCUGAGACACGAAAGCCAGGGGAGCGAACGGG